RNAcentral lists this ribosomal RNA (955 nucleotides) under uncultured Halarchaeum sp. RNAcentral describes it as "bacterial SSU rRNA". It matches the Rfam family "Archaeal small subunit ribosomal RNA", at positions 6 to 961 of the family's 1478-position model. The record is from RNAcentral. Lineage: Archaea; Methanobacteriati; Methanobacteriota; Halobacteria; Halobacteriales; Halobacteriaceae.
GGUUGAUCCUGCCGGAGGCCAUUGCUAUCGGAGUCCGAUUUAGCCAUGCUAGUUGCACGAGUUCAGACUCGUGGCAGAUAGCUCAGUAACACGUGGCCAAGCUACCCUAUGGAGAGGGAUAACCCCGGGAAACUGGGGCUAAUACCUCAUAACGCUCCCCCACUGGAAUGUGGGGAGCCGGAAAUGCUCCGGCGCCAUAGGAUGCGGCUGCGGUCGAUUAGGUAGACGGUGGGGUAACGGCCCACCGUGCCGAUAAUCGGUACGGGUCGUGAGAGCGAGUGCCCGGAGAUGGAUUCUGAGACAAGAAUCCAGGCCCUACGGGGCGCAGCAGGCGCGAAACCUUUACACUGCACGCAAGUGCGAUAAGGGGACUCCGAGUGUGUGGGCAUAGAGCCCACACUUUUGUGUACCGUAAGGUGGUACACGAAUAAGAACUGGGCAAGACCGGUGCCAGCCGCCGCGGUAAUACCGGCAGUUCGAGUGAUGGCCGAUCUUAUUGGGCCUAAAGCGUCCGUAGCCGGCCGGGCAAGUCCGUUGGGAAAUCUGUUCGCUUAACGAACAGGCGUCCAGCGGAAACUGCUCGGCUUGGGACCGAAAGACCUGAGGGGUACGUCCGGGGUAGGAGUGAAAUCCUGUAAUCCUGGACGGACCGCCGAUGGGGAAACCACCUCAGGAGGACGGAUCCGACGGUGAGGGACGAAAGCUAGGGUCUCGAACCGGAUUAGAUACCCGGGUAGUCCUAGCUGUAAACGAUGUCUGCUAGGUGUGGCACAGGCUACGAGCCUGUGCUGUGCCGUAGGGAAGCCGAGAAGCAGACCGCCUGGGAAGUACGUCCGCAAGGAUGAAACUUAAAGGAAUUGGCGGGGGAGCACUACAACCGGAGGAGCCUGCGGUUUAAUUGGACUCAACGCCGGACAUCUCACCGGAACCGACAGCAGUAAUGACAGUCAGGUUG